GUCCCGUUCGUCUAGUCAGGUCAGGACACCGGGUUUUCAUCCCGGCAACAGGGGUUCGAAUCCCCUACGGGACGCCA
This 77-nucleotide transfer RNA is filed under the name Verrucomicrobia bacterium TMED44. RNAcentral describes it as "tRNA-Glu". It matches the Rfam family "tRNA". From Rfam's summary of the family: Transfer RNA (tRNA) molecules are approximately 80 nucleotides in length. Their secondary structure includes four short double-helical elements and three loops (D, anti-codon, and T loops). RNAcentral also lists the same sequence under 4 other names. The record is from RNAcentral. Lineage: Bacteria; Pseudomonadati; Verrucomicrobiota.